Molecule: ribosomal RNA, 2061 nt
Filed under: human gut metagenome
Description: bacterial LSU rRNA
Rfam family: Bacterial large subunit ribosomal RNA
Source: RNAcentral
CCGGCACCUGAGUAGGGCGGGGCACGUGGAAUCCUGUCCGAACCCGCGGGGACCAUCCCGCAAGGCUAAAGACUGCCGAAGACCGAUAGCGGACCAGUACCGUGAGGGAAAGGUGGGAAGCACCCCGGGAAGGGGAGUGAAAUAGAACCUGAAACCGUGCGCUUGCAAGCGGUCGGAGCACCGGUGACGGUGUGACGGCGUGCCUUUUGCAUAAUGAGCCUACGAGUUGCGUCAGUCCGGCGAGGCUAAGCCCUUCAGGGGCGGAGCCGGAGCGAGAGCGAGUCUGAACAGGGCGUUCAGUCGGGCUGAGCAGACGCGAAACCUAGUGAUCUACCCUUGUCCAGGGUGAAGGCGCCGUAACAGGCGCUGGAGGCCCGAACCAGUUUCCGUUGAAAAGGGCUUGGAUGAGAUGAGGGUAGGAGUGAAAGGCCAAUCAAACUGGGAGAUAGCUCGUACUCCCCGAAAUGUCUUUAGGGACAGCCUCGUCGGUUUCCUUCAUGAGGUAGAGCUACCGAUUGGAAGCGAGGGCUUCGCCGCCUAUCAAUUCCAGACGAACUCCGAAUGCGUGAAGGUUCUACGACGGGAGUGAGUCGUCGGGUGCUAAUAUCCGGCGGCGAGAGGGUAAGAGCCCAGACCUCCGGCCAAGGCCCCCAAGAGCGGUCUAAGUUGAGACAGAACGAAGUGGCGCCGCAGAGACAGCCAGGAUGUUAGCUUGGAAGCAGCUAUUCAUUCAAAGAGUGCGUAACAGCUCACUGGUCGAGCGGAGCCGCGUGGAUGAUGAUCGGGCAUCAAGACCGCCGCCGAAGCCGAGGACGGCUGGCGCGAGUCAGUCGUGGUAGGGGAGCAUUCCGGUCGGCGCGGAAGGGAAGUCGCGAGGCUUCCUGGAGCGUCCGGAAAAGAAAAUGUAGGCAUGAGUAACGACAAGGGGCGUAGAAACGCCCCCGCCGAAAACCCAAGGUUUCCGGGGCCACGCUAAACGGCCCCGGGUGAGCCGGGAGCUAACGGUAAGCCGAGAGGCGAUCCGGAUGCACACGCGGUUAAUAUUCCGCGGCCGGCCCGUCGGGCGAUGUCGCGACCGAGAAGUGAAACCUCCGCGCGGAGACGGAAUUCCGCGUUGAAGGCCGUAGGGGUGACCCGAAAGCCGACAGUACGGCGAGCCUCCGGGCGAGCCGACAGCGAGGGUAAUCAUGCUCGCGAGAAAAGCGACUAGCGCUAAGAGACGGGCCGCCCGUACCGUAAACCGACACAGGUGGGUGGGGAGAGUAUCCUGAGGCGCUCGAGUGAAUCACGGCCAAGGAACUAGGCAAAUUGACCCCGUAACUUAGGGAUAAGGGGUCCCGCGGCGACGCGGGCGCAGAGAAAUGGCCCAGGCGACUGUUUACCAAAAACAUAUGGCUAUGCGAAAUCGUUAAGAUGACGAAUAUGGCCUGACACCUGCCCGGUGCCGGAAGGGUAAGAGGGGGGGGCACCGAAAGGGAAGCCCUGAAUUGAAGCCCCGGUAAACGGCGGCCGUAACUAUAACGGUCCUAAGGUAGCGAAAUUCCUUGUCGGGUAAGUUCCGACCUGCACGAAUGGUGUAACGAUCUGGGCGCUGUCUCAGCCGUGAGCUCGGUGAAAUUGUAGUGACGGUGAAGAUGCCGUCUACCCGCAACGGGACGAAAAGACCCCGUGAACCUUUACUAUAGCUUAGCGCUGAUCUUGGACGUCGGAUGUGUAGCAUAGGUGGGAGGCUUCGAGGCGCGGCCGCCAGGUCGCGAUUAGCCGCCAAAUGAAAUACCACCCUUCCGUCGUCUGGGGUCUAACUUCGCGAGAAGGACACCGCUUGGUGGGUAGUUUGACUGGGGUGGUCGCCUCCAAAAGAGUAACGGAGGCUUCCCAAGGUCCGCUCAGGACGAAUGGCAACCGUCCGCAGAGUGCAGUGGCAUAAGCGGGCUUGACUGGGAGACAAACAGGUCGAGCAGGUACGAAAGUAGGGCAAAGUGAUCCGGCGGUUCCCCAUGGGAGGGCCGUCGCUCAUAGGACAAAAGGUACUCCGGGGAUAACAGGCUGAUCGCUCCCAAG